UUGAGCUAGUUCAAGUGGUGAAACACUUUAAUGUUGUAGUUUUAAACAUCAAGAAUAUCUACUAUAAUAAAUUUUAUUCCUCAUUUUAUGAAAGCCAUAUAAUAUUGGCCCUCUAAUAUUGUAUAUUUCUGAAAAAAAAUUAUUGGAUUCUUGGAUACUGCAAUGCAAUUUUUUCUAUUUGCAACUAGAAGAAUGAGGAAGAAAGGCGAAUCAGAGAUUAUUCUCUCCAUCUAAAUCAUCAGGGGUCAGCUGUAUUUGAUUGAGGUUAAUUCUUAGAAUAUGGUUGCUUGCUCCAGGGAACAUAUUGUGUUAUGGAAAUUGCAUCUCUGCGUGGUACAUAUAUCUAACUGACAGAUUUGUUGAUCAGGAAGGGUCACGUCUCAGAGCUGACUAUGAGGCCACUUGGGAUAGGAAUGAUCUCCGGGAUACAUUGCAAAGGACUGGAAGAAAUCAGAAUCCAGAAAGAAGUCGCAUGCAACUAACAGCCACAAGACACUAUGAUGAUGAAGCUCCAAGGUUCCAGCCACACAUUGCACGUUUUGGCUCUAAUGAUGUGCACCCAAAGAGGUUUAAGGUAAAUUUCUAUUGCAUAUGCAUCUUUCGUGUAUUAUGUAUAUAUAUUGAGGUUUGUCCCGUAGGGCAAUAGGAUAUGAAUUCGUUUGAGAGUUUGAAAUUCAUUGACAUAAAUAAUCUGAGAUAGUUGUGUUGAUCUCAUGCAGGAAUAGAGAGGCUGGAACGAUCUUCAAAGAAUCGUAUCAGGGUCCACACUAAGAUAUUUGCAGGUGGUUCACUGGAAAAAAGUCUUGACCGGGUUGUACCCAAUGGGUGGUAUGAGACAGUCUGCUCAACAAUCUGUAUUUCCCUGGAUCUGUCAACUCACUAAAUCAGAUAUGCUUCCAGUUUUGUUCAGUAUACAGACACAUUCUUCUUUUCUAGUUAUUUGUAUCAGGAAUGUAAUAGACACGUGUAGCUUUGCUUAUCAAGGAAGAGAAAGGGUAUCAUACUUGUUUAGCAGGUGAUGCAUAUGGAGAAAAAUAUUCGGGGCUGGACAAUUGUGUUACUUUGUUGACAUCCAAUGUAAACAUUUAUGGUUUUGUAUCGAUAACAAUCAGGGCUUACAAGUUAUAUCAUGUACUAUGCUGUCAAGGGCGGAGCGGAGCGCCAGGCGCUCAGAUUUCUGGGAACCGCCUCCACCGCUCAAGCGGCGCUGAGGCGGCGCUCUGAUCUGACCACAGAGUUUAUACUUUACACUACUCUUCUCUAACAGUAUUUCUUUCCCAUAAAGAAGAAAAAUAUUAAAUUUAAAGAAGAAAGAAAGAUUAAAUUUAGAUUUUAUUUAGGAAGAAUGAAGAUUAGAAGAAGAUUAGAGAAGAAGUAGCAGCAGGAGCAAAACCAGAGAAGAAGAAGUGGCAGCAGCAGCAAAACCAGAGAGGCAGAGAAGAAGAAGUGGCAGCAGCAGCAAAACCAGAGAGGAAGAGAGAGAAUGUGAGAUUUUUUAUUUUUUUUUUAACUUAGGUUUUGGGCUUUUUUAUUUGGGCCUCCUUGAGCAGUUUGUAUGGACCGCUCCGAACAGAGCGCUGGACCUGAGCGCCGUCCAGGCGGCCCCAAGCGUUUUAGGCGCUAAUUUUGCUGAGCGGAGCGACUUUCUCUAGAAAUAGCGCCUAGGCGCCGCCCCUGACAGCAUAGAUCAUGUAUCAAGUCCACUUUGAGUGAGUAUGUGUUUUUUUUUCAUUUAUUCGUUUUUCAUUCAGGGCAUUCCCAAACUUUUCAAUUCUAGUUCAUAAAAUGGUGACACUACGUGAAGGAGGGGAAACAAAAAUCAAAUCAAGUAAACCCUAGAAAAAAAAUCAAAUCAAGUAGGGGUGGGCAAAAAAAACUGAAAAACUGAAUCGAAAAAACCGAGUCAAAACCGAGUUGACCAGAAAUCGGUCAAGACCGAACCGAACCAUAUAGAUAUUGGUCCGGUCUCCGGUCUCGGUUUCUAUUUUUAUAAAACCGAGGGAACCGAACCGAACCGAAUUACAUGGAUAUUGGGCUUUUCUUCUAUUUAGUACUAAAUUUGGUUUGAUUUGGUCCAUGUCUUAUUUUGUUUAAAGCACAAAACUUAAGAACAAUCUUUAAUAUUUUAGUGGACUAAAUGCCCAAUAACAAAAGCCCAGAACCGAGUUUCGAACCGAAACCGGACCGACUAUAUUUGGUCCGGCUCGGUUCGGUUAUAUUCAAAUAUUUUCGGUCCAUGAACCGAAACCGAACCGAAAAUUUAAAAUCGGUUUGGUCCCGGUCCUAUUACUUUUUGGGACCGGACCGGACCGUGCCCACCCCUAAAAUCAAGUAAACCCUAGUACCCUACUAGAUAAACUCCUGGUAUCGGCACUGCCUUCUUGGUAUGGUAGACACAACUUGAUAAUCUUCACCUGCACCGGCUUCUUGGUAUGGUAGACACACUUUGAUAAUCUUCACCUGCACCGGCGAUGCUUUUAGGAGAUAUGAGGCUUCCAAUGUGAAGAACAAUUUGUGAUAUGUUUGUAGGAUACUGAAUUCCAUCAAUAAAAAUUUGUUUAAAUUCAUGAUUUUCAAAGUCAUAGUAGCCUUGAUACUUGCCACUAUUAAGUAAGACGCACCCAUUAUUCAUUGAACCACAACUUUUAAGAGGAAGUUUAGGUAGUGGCCCAAGCUUUUCUUUUCUGAUAACAUUGUUCUCUAGUCCAUGAACUUGCUACCCCAUAAUCCAUAUUGUUUCAUAAUCCAUAUGACUAUAUGAUCACCAAAUUCAUCAGUUAGACAAAGACAUUGACGUUAGGGAACUAAAAAUUCUAGUGUUAAUCAUACUAUCAUCUAGAUGCGGUUGUCCAAAUGUUGUGAAUUUUUCAUCUCCAAUAUCUAUGGCACCUACACAAUUUCUGAAUUCAGGGUUUUCAGUAUCUCGCAUUUCCAAGUGUAACGCGCCAUUUAGAUACACUUGGGAUAUUGACUUGUCAUUACAUACAAGAUUAAUAUUACCUUGCUCUAUCCUUCUCCAGUUCUCCAUACUCCAGAGCCAACAGUAUAUAUCUCAAUUCCAGUUCGAAGCCAAGAAGUGCUCUUGGGAUAGACGAGGUGAAAAGUACGAGCGACCUUGAAUGAUUUAGUUGGUUCAUGAAAAGCAAAUCCAACUGAAGUAAAUAAUGGUAAUUUAAGGUGGUUGUUAGUUUUGCAAGCAGGUGUUUUGGGAGCUUCAGCAUCUCUCGUGUAACAGGAUUACAGAUAUAGAUUAUGUUACAUUUGGAUAAUGAACACAGACAUAGAAAGCCAUUAGAAGAACCCACUAUUUCGACUACUUGUCUGUGGCUGUCAAGGUAUAUAUUGAUGGCCUUCAACGAGGUUUGAUGACCAGGUAAACUUUUAUUGUUAUCUACCAAAUAAAAUGUUGGGUUUUAUGUGUAAUAUGGGCCUGUUUGGGCCCAAAUUCGUGGUCUAUUGUAAGGCUAUACUAUAAAGCCAAAUAGAAGUGAUACAAAACCUUAAUUUUUCUAAGAGAGAGAUUGUGAGAAGCCAUUAGAGAGUUUGAGAGAACUUUUGUGAGGAAGAAGACUUCGGUUUCUUCGUGAGGGCUUGUACAAUUGUCUAGAUAAGAAAAAUAUCAUCCUUUCUCCCCGUGGACGUAGGCAUAUUGUCGAACCACGUAUAUCUUGUGUCUUGUGUGUGGUUGCUUGUUUAUUUUGUCUUUUUCGUUUUACUUUCAUACAUUAGUUCAAUCAUAUUAUUUGUGCAUUAGUUUCCGCUGCGCACAACAUAAAAGACUUCAUGAAAGGGGGUGGUACUGCGAACUAGAAGAAGAUCGGUUGAUUCCUGGUUUUGAAUAAUGCGAGAAUGGUGUAAGUUAAUGAAAACAGGAUCCUUAAUAAGUUUAUACCAAUAUUUAGAAACAAACCUGCAUUGAGAGAGGGUUUGGAUGGGCAAUCUAGAAAAGAUAUCGUGCCAGAUUUCAAUACAAAUCUAUCUUUUAAUUCAAUACAAAAGGAUUUGUGUAUCCUUUAAUUAAAAGAUAUAUUUAUAUUGAUUUUCUUUCUUGUGUCUAUAAAUAUUGAUUAUCAAUGUAGACAAGUAACAAGCAAGGGUCGUACCCACCUCAAAGGUAGAAUUCUUAGCUCAAAGACAAUAGAAAACAAUAGUUAAAGAACACCAAGUGAAUCAAUAAAUAAGAUGGAAAUUGAUUCUACUUCUACUUGCAAUAAAUAAAUAAAUUAAUACUUAAACUAACUUAAGAAGAUGGAUAGUGAUGUAGAGAAGAUCUUAUGAUGAAUAGGGGGAAGAGUUGGUAUCCACAAACUAAACAAUGCAAACAUACAUGCCAUUCAGUCAUGUUCAAUCUAUAACAAUCAAUUAGUCACCUCUCAGCUAUUCCAAUUAAUCAUUAAUGUCUAUAAUAAUCAAGUAGUCACCUCUCAGCUAUUCCACUCAAUUAAAACAGGAUUCUCUUAUACAUGCAAUUGAAUAUGCUUCAUCAAUUAAACCGUCACCUCUUAGCUAUUCAAUUUAAUUAACUCAACAUAUUAAUUCAUAAUCAAACCGUCACCUCUCUGUUAUUCAAUUUAAUUACAAAAUGGGUCCAAUAAAAGAAAUUGAUUCUAGAUAUAUAAUAGUCACCUCUCAGCUAUUCCAUCACAUAUAUCUCUAAUCAAUCUAAUACAACUAUUAUAGCUAGGUCUCCCUAUACUCUAACAAUAGUAUUUUAUAAACAUGGAUAUCAAUAACAUAUGAAUAAUCAUGCUUACUUCAUGUCGCGAAAUAAAAAUAAACAAGCAUUAAGCACUUUGAAUCACAAUGAACAUUAAGAACAAACAUGGUGCCUUUGCAUUAUCUAGGGUGCUUCAACCAUUCCCCCUAAAGGGAAUUUAGCUACUCAUCCUUGAUAAAGACACUAUGGAAUAAGUAAAUAAAUAACAUAACAUCAUAAGGAAAAAUGAAUGAAUUAUUAUUGAGAAUAAGAAGAAGAAUAAGAGUCAAAAAUACAAUUUCAAGACUUUGAGUUCAAGAGAAAACGAACUAAACUAAACCCUAGCUACUACUUCUCUUUAUAUAUAGAAUACAAAACAUAUUACUUGCUCACAAAGUCUACUUCUUUCCAAGUUAGGUCAAAUUUGUGGUUGCUGCUGUAGGCUUUCUAGAAGCAUCAAGGUCUUAUCAAAACCUAAUUCUCUUGGGCUUAAGUUGUAACCUGGACCAAGACCUUUAGAUAGACAGCUCAUGGGCCCAAACUAGACUUUUGGAUCUUCAUAUAGAGCCUUUUUAAGAUUGGGCUUCAAUAAAGACUUCAAUAGAUUUUCUGACUUGUGGGCUUCAUUAUAACUUGGAAUGGGCUGGAAUUUGGACCACCCAUCUUGGACAUAAGUCAAAUCCAUAGGACCAGUCCACGGGGUGCUCUCAGCAACUCUACGGGUGCAAAUAUCAAUUAUUCAUCCUUGUGCAAAUAACAUCGUUUUAGUGGCUUUUCUUGGCUUUUGGCGAGCUUUAACACAAUAUUCACAUUUUGGCUCAUGAAACCUACACAAAUGAUAAGAAAACACUAAUCAAUAGAUAUAACACAAUAAUAUAAGCUAAGUGCUAUGCAAACAAGGUGCUAUUCAGGGGAUAAAUAUACACUGUUGUCUAUUGGCUCGCAAUGCGCAGGAUCAUAGCUUAUAUUAAGUGAGAUCUAUACGAUCAUAUCUUAUGUUUGUUUCUAGAAAUAAUGUAUGUAGGAAUUCUACUCCCAUAAGUACUUGGUAUGGUAUUCUAAUUGGCAAUUGGUAUUGUUAUCCAAUUUGGAUCCUUGUAUAGCCGGAUUAGGAACUCUUGGGUAUUAUAUAUACUCAACUAAUUGGCUAUUGUAAAAAUGUAGUAAGAAGAGAGAGUGAACCAAAGGUGAAAAUAUUACUAGAUAGGGAGAGACAAAUUUAUGAGGGUUUUCAUAAUAGGGUUUCUCAAGUUCUAGUGUGAGAGAGAAAGAUACAAGAAAUUAUAGAUUUGUAAUUAGGUUGUUUCUUUUCUCUGAUUAGUGAAAUUUUCUUGAUCGAUUGUCGGGUGGAGUAGGCGGGUUUGCCAAACCACGUUAAUAUUGGUGUUAUUGUGUGUGAUUGUGUUUUUUCGAUUACUUUCUCUGUUAUUUGCUAUUAUCUAGAUUAUCAGUAUUACAACCAAUCCUUGGGUUAAAGCUUCCGUUGCACAACAGUUGUAAUCUAUUCAAAAUGGGCUUUUGCCAAUGUUCUCGCUUUGUUCUCCAAUAACUAAAUAUAGACUGAAAAACACUAUAACUCAUCGAUUCCACAUGUCGAAGCUCAUACGCAUCAUCCAACUGCAAAAGCACAGGUAUACGUGAACAAAGUGUAGGUGUAAUAACACCAGCUCUUUCUCUAGUCUUAUGAUUCAGGAAACAAAGUAUUAACAUUAAGGCCUUGCUUGGUUAUCCCGCAAAAAUUUGCAUGAAAUUUAGCCUAAUUUAAUAUUCUCGAAACUCUUGACAAUUGGGUUUAUGAACAAAUUUUAUGCAAAAAUUUGGUGCUAUUUUAAAAGUGCAAAGAUUUCACACAUUUUUCUAAUAAACUUAGUAGGGAACCAUCUAUGAUUAUCUCAUACUUACUAAAGGUUUGGGUGGGGGACCAAGCUAGAUUAGUUGGGGGACCAUUCAAAUUAAAGAGUAAAUUUGUGAGGGACCACUCUAAUCAUAGAUGGGUAAAGAUUUGCCUUUUUUGCAGCCCAAACAAGCAGGGCCUAAGUUGGAAAAGUUAAUGUGCCAUGGAAAUUGCAUCUAUGCAUGGUGCAUAUAUCUAGGCCUGUAAAAUAGGCCGGGUAGGGCUAGCCCGGCCCUUGAACCCUCGAGCCCUCACACUUUAAGGGUCGGGCCAACCCUACCCUAAAAGAUGAUGAGGGUCGGGUUAGGGCGGGCCAACACAAAAAUUGUAAAAACCUCACCUGACCCUUAGCCCUUUAUUUUAAAGGGUCGAGGGCCGGGCUAACGGGCCCGAUUGAUAGGGUCGAUACAUAGAAUUAUGUUUUACUUGAAAAAAAAUAUGCGAUCAUGUUUUUAUUAAUAUCAUUUUAAUAUUUUUGAAAAUACGUAUAAUAAAUAUACAAAUAUAUUUUUUUUACCAUAAAAUUUAUUAUAGUAUAUGAUAUUAUUUUAUCCAAGAGCAUUACAAUUAAUAAAUACAAAGAACUCGUAGUUAGAUGUUAUCUUAUUACUAAAAUUUCAAACUUUAGAAAUUUAGUCCUAAAUUUAUAAAAUUCUAGCAUGAUAAGUAUAAAAUACACAUUUAAAAUAAUAAUCUAAUUACCAUUUAUUGCAUACUCAAUAAUGAAAUAUAUGGUUAAUAAAAAAAUAUUCUAUUGAGAAUCAAUUUCUUUUAGUUAUAUAAUAGUUUUUUAACAACUAGUUCGGGAAAUAUUCGAUAAACAUUUGAUAAAUAUCAUAUAACUUAAACAAAAAUGAUAUCUAUGUCUAAUUGGAAAAAUCUUUACGAUUAAAACUCUAAAAAAAUAUUCAAAUUUUGAUAUAUAGAGAAAUAUAUUAAAAAUUAUACAUAUAUUUAUGAGGACCGUAAGAGGGCUUUGAGAGGGUUAAUUAAGGUUGGGCUAAGGGUAGGGUCUAAGAUUUCCAAAGCUAAACCCUAACCCGACCCUUAAAAGGAGAGGGUCGGGCCGGCCCUACCUUAAAAAUCAUAAAGGUCAAGCUUUAAGGGCCUUUUUUGUUGAAUGGGCCAGGCGGGCCGGGCCGAGUUUGGGUCAAAGGGCCAUUUUUACAUGCCUACUUAUAUCUAACUGACAGAUUUGUUGAUCAGGAAGGGUCGCGUCUCAGAGCUAACUACGAGGCCACUUGGGAUAGGUUUGACCUCCGGGAUACAUUGCAAAGGACUGC
This 7873-nucleotide long non-coding RNA is filed under the name Aquilegia coerulea. RNAcentral describes it as "long non-coding RNA (ACOE_LNC001965)". Lineage: Eukaryota; Viridiplantae; Streptophyta; Magnoliopsida; Ranunculales; Ranunculaceae. The record is from RNAcentral.